GCCGACUCUGGGCAGGGCCAGGAACUACUCCUGGGCUAGAGCAUGGCCUGGUGAUUUCCCCUUGGUGCUCAGAGGUUUUCGGCUCUGACUGAGACCCUACAGUUUUCAUAGCAAACAACUCCCCAGGUUGGGGAGGUGGUAUAGCAGUCACAGGACUUGAAAGUCCAUUUGGAAGAGGUGAGGGACUGUCUGACUGAGUGAGGAAUCCGGGCUACUUGGGGGCCAGACCCAGCAUUGGCUGUGUGGAUUUGGGCAGGGGACGGAACUGAGGCUGGCGCCAUGGAGGAUUGCCCAAGAGAGUGGAGGCCCAGGCUGAGUCUAACAUGGCUUGUUAGGAGGCAGCCCUUCUCAUCAAGAGCCAUUUGCUAUUGGAGGACAUGGAUAGACUACCGCUUAACUGAGUACAAUAAUACUGACACAAUGGUCCCUAAGGGACUGAGUUGUCCCCAGGAGUCUCCAGCUGGGAGAAGGAAAAGGCUGAAGCCAUCCUGCAGCCAGAGGAGGGGCUCGUCUCUGGAAAGAGAUUCCACCCUGUUCCCACCUUCAGGAGAGACUGCAGCUGAGAUGGUGGCUCAGUGAUAGGAAACUUAGCAAGAAAACAAUUAUGGGAUGGACUCCGAAUGAUCCCCAAAUGGCCAUGAAGCAGAGAUGGCGGUCGCAGAGGAAAACCAACGAGGUUCCGUUUGCUCAAACCCGUGAUUCCGCAAACCGUGUAGCUGAGCUCUUCUCUAUCCGUGGUUCUAGAAUUUUCACCUCUCUCCUUCUGUCUAUGACCUCUCUGUUCAGUGUCUUACAAGCCCACUCCAUCCUAAGGUUAAAGUACAGUUGUUUAGCGUGGUUUAUUCUACGGGGAGAUGACAUGUCCCGGGCGAGGAGAAUGAGAAGAUCUGUCUAUAUAAUACAAAGUGAAUUAGAAUAUUCGCUCAUCAAUCCUCCCACAGGCUGAUGUAGAGUGACGUCCUCCAGGCAUGAUGCUGCUACUGCACUUUUGAACUCAGCAGCUGGGAUUACCCUAAGGAGACCUGCAUAAGAUUAGGCUUCCUGAUAUGAAGGCUGGGAGAGGCUUGCAAGCCCCGCUUCCCCCCAAAGAUAUAUAAGAAGCUGAACAGGGAAACGGGGAAGAUAGCAAGAUGGCUCGGUGGUUGAGGGCCCUUGUGGCUCUUCCGGAGGACCCAGGUUCAAUUCCCAGUCUUUACACAGUGGCUCACAAACAUCUGUAACUCCAGUUCCAAGAGAUCUGACUCCUUCUUCUGACCCUUUUCAGCAACCACUAAUGAGGUGAACAGACAUACAUGCAGGCAAAACAUUCAUACGCUUAAUUACUUUUAAAGAAACUAACAGGGGAGAGACUUAUGAGACCUUUAGCCCCAAGAUUUACCUAUUAGCUGCUAACUAUUGGUGGGAAAGAGUUACUUUUUCAUCUAGUUGUAUCAGUGCCUUUGCUUCUGUGAGCAACCGCUCAUGUAUACACCUGCAACUCAGAAUAAAUUCAACUAUUCGCCAAAAUAUACCUGGAAGGAAUCCCUUCCUUGUUCCUCCCCUUGAUUCCCUAUCUCGGUGAAUCGGUGUUCAUCUGCUGAAAAACGUUCAUACUUGCACAAGCAUUUAGUGGCCUGGAUCUGACUCAGGACACUUCCUUAGGAAAUGAGAUGGAAAUAUGAAACUCCCUCUGCCUCCCUUCCCCUGGGAGCAGCUGGGCAUUUUGUUUCCUUGCACGACAGACAGACAAGACAAAGACCAAGCAAAGUGAGGUAACAGCUGUGCUGGCAGGAUGCUUGGGACUGAGGAAGAGAAAAGGAAGGGAGGGGCAGACAGUUGCCACGCUUCAGUUUGGAGGGGGUAAGUUUAUGUUCUGAAAGUAUAGUGGCAGGGGGGCAAGGACAUAGGCUGGGCCGGUCAAGACACAUCUACAAUGGCUGUGGGGGCAGAUGAGAUUUGCUAUACUUCUUCAAUUGUUAAGACCACACUUCAGAAUCUAGACAGCAUACUUAUUCAUUUCCAGGCCGUGUUUACAGGGCAGAGUACCCAAAGACACACCAGAGGUCAGAGGGUCUGGACCCUUGAAGAUCAGAGAAGAUGCAGAUCAAAGAAUCCAGAAUCCCCAGUUUAGCCUACAGGCGUCCAGGGAACCUGGAUUGUGGGAGUUUAUGGUUUAGCAGGUCCUUAAGACUUGGUUGACGCCAAAUGAGGCUUUAUAGAAGGCCUGGAGUGUACCUCCUCAUUCAUUAAGUGAAAUCUCACUCAUUCAGUAAUUUAUUGAUCAACCACUUUGUUGUCUAGGCUCUGGGGACAUCAUUCCAGGUGAUGAUGAGCAAUUUCCUGUUUGGGGCUGCUAUAACGGGCUACCUCAGACAGGGCAACUCAUAAGGAGUGUAGACUUAUUUCUCACAGUUCUAGAAGCCUGGGAGUUCCGAGACCAAGGAGUGUGCAUCUAGUGAGGUCAGUCCUGCUGAUGUCAUCCCUAGGCAGAAAACAAGCAGCUGAGAUGAGAACUAGGUAAGAACAGAAGCUAAUCUGUAAGCCCCACCCACCUGAGAACAAGGUAACUUCCUGGAAUGCUGAGAGUUGUUGUUCUUGGAAGACAGCAAGCCACAAGUUUUUGAUUCCCUAAACAAGUGUUUGUUUAACCAUCUACCCUGGAUGCGCUUGACCACAUAGAAGCGGGAGGUAUAUAGGCAGGGAAUAUGUCAGCCCUCAUUUAGCCUGAUGGGAAAUGCACUGAAUUAUGGGUUUUGCCUUUUUAAGUCCCUGCAAAAUGUGACUUGGAUUCACUCAUUGGGAACCUGUGGGUGGACCUGACCAGAAUCCAUUUUUCUGGUUAGUACUUAAUUAAAGUUUGCUUCAAAUUUGGCUCAAAAAUGUGGAACUGGUCUUUCCCAGGCAAAUCUCAGGACUGACAUUUGGAGGCACCAGUGCGAUGAAAGAAAAUGUCUUGCCACCAAAAUUCUGGAGUGGGGCUCUUCACCCUGUGGCUGAUAGACCUCCUGGGGAUGGUUGCACCUUGGGAGGCUAACCCAUUGACUUUGUGAACUCCUGCAGUGAAUGGCUACUCUUGAAGAAGAUUGGAAGUAUUUUUUCCUACAAAGGUCUCCUUUUGGUAUAUCAUAGAAGUCAUUUUUAGCUUCUUCUUGUGAUAUUUUUCUACCUGGUGUCUGGAUUCUGGUUAUGAGUUACCCUGGUCUGGGAGUGGGGAAGACCUGGAGAGGUCUAUGUACUCCUGUUCAGAAUGACAGAGAUGUCCCAAGGCCUACUGGUUAUUUCUGGUUAAUUGGAGUUCAGCCAGAACCACCAAUUUUUCUCUUUUUACCUUCAUUGGAGCCUGAAGGCCCUCUCUCUGGUGAUGCUGGGAGCCAAGGAACAUGGACAGGACUCCAGUGUCUAGGCUGUGAAACAACUGAGGAACCAUAAGGGUGUUCCAUGACAAGCUGGGGACUUGGAGACGUCCAGAGUGGGUUCAAGAGCCAGGAACUCAGAGAGGUCAAGCCUCUAAUGGGUUCCUAGCAUUUGGGUUCUGCAGAAAGGGUAUAGAGAGGCCUCCUACUUGUUAAAAGAAUUUCUCUUGGUCAGACUGGUAAACCUCAGUGAUUCCAAUAGUUGGUGUUUUCUACUGUCAUUCUGGCUCCAUGUUUUUGUUGCUGUUUAAGCUCACUGUCUUGUCUUAUGUCUAUACCUUUAUUUCUGAUUUUGAGCAACUAAAUGGAUGAAUGACACAAAUGACAGAGCUUUGGGGACAUGGGGUUUGGUGGUGAAAGCUCAGGGAUCAAUGGACAGCUUUGAAGUAAAGAUCAGGGCCCCAUGCGGAAGCUGGCAAGUGGGCAGGUCUCAUUGGAGUUCUAAGGCUGGCACUCCAACUCCAGCAUCACAACCUUUAGCUGCCUGCUGUGGUGGCUCAUGAGAUUGCCCAGUCAUUGCUCUAACAACCUCCAGCCAUACCAGAAGGUUCCAUUGCCCUGCCCCACCCCCUCAGACUGACAACACUGGAGGAGGUAGUUAGGGGAAGCCUUAUCUGUUUUGGAUGUAUGAAUGUAUAGUGGCCACCACAUGUCUGACUUGUCUUGAAUAUGUGAGCUUACUGUGUUUGUUUCUCAUACCACUUGCCACUAGGGCUCAGAAUUUAUCUCUGUGCUUUUUGGCCUUUGGAUUUAAUGUAAUAGGAUUCAAAUAUCAUUUGUGUAUGGAUAUUAUUAAUGUUGUUUUAUGCUGUUCUACUUAAUUGAAAAGCUGUUCUGGAAUUGGGUUAUGGCUUCCCCUUUUUUUUUCAGACCCAGGCAUGCGUUUAAAAUCUCUAUGUCUCAGUCAGGAGCUAUGACAAGGGAAUAAAAGAGCAGAGCAGACCAGCUAAAGGGAUUAUUGGCUUUUAAGUUUAUUGAGCAUGUGGUUAAAACUAUGUAAUAUCUAUAACAAAAAGCUAACUUAAAACUCUUAACAUGUGGUCGGUAAUUGGAAAUCUAUGCAUAGGUAAUCUCAAAAGAACCAGGUAGCAUUAUUCCACUUGGGGAUAUAGCAAUAUGUGACCUGAUGCCAUCCUUAGGCAACCAUGUGGCUGGCAGCCACCUUGAUAGGACUGGAGAGGAUGUUCUGUGAUCAAGGGAAACCACAUGGUGUGGGACAACCCAGGAGACAACAACAGAUUUCCAGAUACUUUGAACUAUGGAUUUUGAACUAGGGAUGGAUUUUUUUUUUUUUGGUAUAAUACCUCCUGUUCUGUCUUGAAAAACUAGGCUUAUGAAAGAUAGGAUUUAAGAAUAAAGCUUGUUUAAUGAGAUAUUAAAACUGGACCUCCAUGUGUUCAUAUACAAGAAUGCACAUUUCUGGAAGCCAAACUUUCUAAUAAGAGUCACCCUGGUGGCAAUGGUUUGAGAGACAUGAAGAGACCAUGGGGGGUAGCUGAGGCUUGCCAAUGUGAGGCAGGGGACCCUAGUAGUUUUGGAGAUGCCAAUGUGAUAGUCUUCAGCAGCCAAGUGUGGGACCAGAGGAUGACCUAAGUCCCUGGGAAAUCCCCAGAAGAAUCCCAGUAUGGUUUGCACUGCCGGCAUUUGGUUUUGCCUUGUGCAGAUUAUGGUUGUACUCCAUAGCUUCACUUUUCACAUUGAAAAGGUACUUUAUUUUCAUAUUGCGGGAGCAUACAGGUGAGAGACCUUAAACUUCUUUAAGAGGAAACCUUGGAGUUUUAUUGAAAAUGUAAAUAAAAAAAUUGUCUAAUAAGUAUUUUAAAAAUCCCUGGUCAUGGGUUUUCCCACUAAUGCGGUAAGUCAAAUCCAGUUGAAUUAAUAAAUCCAGGUUUAAUAAAAAGAACAAAGCAAAGCACAGUGAAGCAACUCCCAGGUGACUCUUGGAAAGGCGGGAGAGAGAGCAUGUGGCAGGGCUUGUGACUGGGUCUUAAAUACCCUGUAGGCCUGGUAUGGAGCAGC
Long non-coding RNA from Arvicola amphibius (Eurasian water vole), 5411 nucleotides. RefSeq lists it as uncharacterized. NCBI's taxonomy places the organism in Eukaryota, Metazoa, Chordata, Mammalia, Rodentia, Cricetidae. The transcript is spliced from 5 exons. The record is from RefSeq and is a predicted model, not a curated record.